UACGUAGGGCGCAAGCGUUGUCCGGAAUUAUUGGGCGUAAAGAGCUCGUAGGCGGUUUGUCGCGUCUGCUGUGAAAACCUAAGGCUCAACCUUGGGCUUGCAGUGGGUACGGGCAGACUAGAGUGCGGUAGGGGCGACUGGAAUUCCUGGUGUAGCGGUGGAAUGCGCAGAUAUCAGGAGGAACACCGAUGGCGAAGGCAGGUCACUGGGCCGCAACUGACGCUGAGGAGCGAAAGCAUGGGGAGCGAACAGG
RNAcentral lists this ribosomal RNA (253 nucleotides) under uncultured bacterium. Its description in RNAcentral is "partial 16S ribosomal RNA". It matches the Rfam family "Bacterial small subunit ribosomal RNA", at positions 524 to 776 of the family's 1533-position model. The record is from RNAcentral.